This 373-nucleotide ribosomal RNA is filed under the name uncultured organism. Its description in RNAcentral is "bacterial SSU rRNA". It matches the Rfam family "Bacterial small subunit ribosomal RNA", at positions 526 to 896 of the family's 1533-position model. The record is from RNAcentral.
CGUAGGGCGCAAGCGUUAUCCGGAAUUAUUGGGCGUAAAGAGCUCGUAGGCGGUUUGUCGCGUCUGCUGUGAAAUCCCGAGGCUCAACCUCGGGUCUGCAGUGGGUACGGGCAGACUAGAGUGCGGUAGGGGAGAUUGGAAUUCCUGGUGUAGCGGUGGAAUGCGCAGAUAUCAGGAGGAACACCGAUGGCGAAGGCAGAUCUCUGGGCCGUAACUGACGCUGAGGAGCGAAAGGGUGGGGAGCAAACAGGCUUAGAUACCCUGGUAGUCCACCCUGUAAACGUUGGGAACUAGUUGUGGGGUCCUUUCCACGGAUUCCGUGACGCAGCUAACGCAUUAAGUUCCCCGCCUGGGGAGUACGGCCGCAAGGCUA